This 241-nucleotide ribosomal RNA is filed under the name uncultured Actinomycetes bacterium. Its description in RNAcentral is "uncultured actinobacterium partial 16S ribosomal RNA". It matches the Rfam family "Bacterial small subunit ribosomal RNA", at positions 92 to 334 of the family's 1533-position model. The record is from RNAcentral. Lineage: Bacteria; Bacillati; Actinomycetota; Actinomycetes.
UUAGUGGCGAACGGGUGAGUAACACGUGAGCAACGUGCCCAAGACUCUGGAAUAACUUCGGGAAACCGGAGCUAAUACUGGAUACGAGACGUAAAGGCAUCUUUAGCGUCUGGAAAGAAUUUCGGUCUUGGAUCGGCUCACGGCCUAUCAGCUCGUUGGUGAGGUAAUGGCUCACCAAGGCGACGACGGGUAGCCGGCCUGAGAGGGUGACCGGCCACACUGGGACUGAGCCACGGCCCAG